This 496-nucleotide ribosomal RNA is filed under the name uncultured bacterium. RNAcentral describes it as "partial 16S ribosomal RNA". It matches the Rfam family "Bacterial small subunit ribosomal RNA", at positions 30 to 523 of the family's 1533-position model. The record is from RNAcentral.
AUUGAACGCUGGCGGAAUGCUUUACACAUGCAAGUCGAACGGUAGAGGGGGCAACCCCUCGAGAGUGGCGAACGGGUGAGUAAUAUAUCGGAACGUGCCCAGGCGUGGGGGAUAACGUAGCGAAAGUUACGCUAAUAACGCAUACGAUCUAAGGAUGAAAGCGGGGGAUCGCAAGACCUCGCGCGAUUGGACCGGCCGAUAUCAGAUUAGGUAGUUGGUGGGGUAAAGGCUCACCAAGCCAACGAUCUGUAGCUGGUCUGAGAGGACGACCAGCCACAUUGGAACUGAGACACGGUCCAGACUCCUACGGGAGGCAGCAGUGGGGAAUUUUGGACAAUGGACGCAAGUCUGAUCCAGCCAUUCCGCGUGCAGGAUGAAGGCCCUCGGGUUGUAAACUGCUUUUGUACGGAACGAAAAGGUCUCUCUUAAUACGGGGGACUCAUGACGGUACCGUAAGAAUAAGCACCGGCUAACUACGUGCCAGCCGCCGCCGUAA